CGUAGGUGGUAGUGAAAGUCUAUGGUGGAAUCUUAGGGCUUAACCCUAAAAACUGCCUUGGAAACUUCAUUACUUGAGUCAGUGAGGGGAGGGUAGAAUUCCUGGUGUAGCGGUGAAAUGCGUAGAUAUCAGGAGGAAGGCCGGUGGCGAAGGCGGCCCUCUGGCGCUGAACUGACGCUGAGGCGCGAAAGCGUGGGUAGCAAACAGGAUUAGAUACCCUGGUAGUCCACGCCCUAAACGGUGGGUACUAGGUGUAGGGCUCGUAAGGGUUCUGUGCCGAAGGGAAACCAUUAAGUACCCCGCCUGGGGAGUACGGCCGCAAGGUUGAA
RNAcentral lists this ribosomal RNA (329 nucleotides) under uncultured bacterium. RNAcentral describes it as "bacterial SSU rRNA". It matches the Rfam family "Bacterial small subunit ribosomal RNA", at positions 570 to 898 of the family's 1533-position model. The record is from RNAcentral.